CGAAGCGCUGGCGCUUUGUUGGAGGAACCGGGGCGGGGCCAUGUUGUUCCCGCGGAGGGGAAGCGCCGCCAGCCGCGGGCUCCGGGGCAGCUGCCGCCGCCAAGAUGGAGCCCGGCAGCCGCCCCAUUGUACGGCGCUUUGUGGGGCGGCCCUCCCGCUCAGCCCCUGGCACCGUCACCGGGCGCUGACGCCGCUCCCCGCGCCCGUCCGCCUCCCCCCGCGGCGGGGAUCGCCGAGCCACCACCCGCCGCCUCCUCUUUUAUGUGUCUGUAUGUCAGAGCUUUCCCAAAGAGUCGGGCAUUCCCCAUCCAGAAGUCAUCAGCAGGCCUGAAUGGAAUCGUAUGAUGGGAUCGCAGAGUGCUUUUGAUGGGAAGGGAGCUCGAAGAUCAUCCAGUCCGAUCCCUCCUGCCAUGGGCACGGGCACCUUCCACUAGAUCAGAUUGCUCAAGGUCCCAUCCAGCCUGGCCUUGAACAAUUCCAAGGAUGGAGCAGCCACAAUUUCUCUGGGUGUUCCAGUGUCUCACCCUCCUCACAAUUGAAGAUAGGCAGGCCGAGAUGAGCAGCAGGAAUGUGCCUCAGAGGUAAAGAUGAGGAAUAUGCUCUUGAAAAGAGGGUGACUGCACCUGAAGGCACUGCUCAGAAGAGGAAGGUGUAUGCUAAUGAGCGAGUAAGUCUUUUGAAGAUUCAGUUUGUAGCACUCCAGGCAAUACUGAACCACAGACUGAAAUGAAUUCUGUAGUGAAAUGCGUUUAGAAACUUGGCUACAGCCAAUCAGAUUAGAUGCUAAAAAAAACAAAGCUGCACAAAACCUCAACAUUGGAAUGAAAAGAUGGAGUGAUCAGUAUGAAAUGAGAAAGAAGAAAAGUAAUAGACUUCAGGAGGAAAAGCUGAGGCUCGGCUUUUCUCAUGCCUACUUUCAAGAAUGCAGCCGUGGAUGGGAGGGAAAGAAAGGUAAGUGUGAAAGUCAUCAGCACUGAGGAGAGGAGCAAAGUCACCCAGAGGCCAGGGCAGAGGGUGGAGGGAGAAGCAGCAGCUCACCAAAGCCAGAAACCAGCAGAGUGAGUUUUCCUUGUGUUUGCAUAAGUUAGCACCUGUGUUGCUUGCAGCUGGAGGAGCCAUGUGGGGGGUGGGAGACUUUCUCUCCCUGGGAAACGGGAGGGUUGCUGUUUUACAUAUGAACGAGGCCUGAUGACAGAAAAUGACUCCAGUUGUAUGCUAAUAGUGCAGGGUUUGCGCUGCUGAUGCUGUUGAAAGUGCCAUUUCCAGUGGGGAAGGACCCACAGUUUUUUAUUUCCCUGCAAGAUCUCCACUAAUCGCCAUUAUAUUAUUACACUUAGAGCACAUUGCUUCCCUCAAGUGGGGCUGAGAGGAGGGUGAUACAUGGAACCGAUAUGAAGUGCCUUUUCCAUCUAGUUGUACUGUCUGGUUUUCUAGAGUGAACAUGUUGCUGUGGACUUACUUGUCCUAAAUUUGGAAAGAUGUGUUAAUAAAUUGUAAAGCUGC
Molecule: long non-coding RNA, 1503 nt
Organism: Haemorhous mexicanus (house finch)
Lineage: Eukaryota; Metazoa; Chordata; Aves; Passeriformes; Fringillidae
Exons: 2
Source: RefSeq, a predicted model, not a curated record